Molecule: ribosomal RNA, 665 nt
Filed under: uncultured bacterium
Lineage: Bacteria
Description: bacterial SSU rRNA
Rfam family: Bacterial small subunit ribosomal RNA
Source: RNAcentral
GAUGAACGCUGGCGGCGUGCCUAAUACAUGCAAGUCGAGCGAACAGACGAGGAGCUUGCUCCUCUGACGUUAGCGGCGGACGGGUGAGUAACACGUGGAUAACCUACCUAUAAGACUGGGAUAACUUCGGGAAACCGGAGCUAAUACCGGAUAAUAUAUUGAACCGCAUGGUUCAAUAGUGAAAGACGGUUUUGCUGUCACUUAUAGACGGAUCCGCGCCGCAUUAGCUAGUUGGUAAGGUAACGGCUUACCAAGGCAACGAUGCGUAGCCGACCUGAGAGGGUGAUCGGCCACACUGGAACUGAGACACGGUCCAGACUCCUACGGGAGGCAGCAGUAGGGAAUCUUCCGCAAUGGGCGAAAGCCUGACGGAGCAACGCCGCGUGAGUGAUGAAGGUCUUCGGAUCGUAAAACUCUGUUAUUAGGGAAGAACAAAUGUGUAAGUAACUAUGCACGUCUUGACGGUACCUAAUCAGAAAGCCACGGCUAACUACGUGCCAGCAGCCGCGGUAAUACGUAGGUGGCAAGCGUUAUCCGGAAUUAUUGGGCGUAAAGCGCGCGUAGGCGGUUUUUUAAGUCUGAUGUGAAAGCCCACGGCUCAACCGUGGAGGGUCAUUGGAAACUGGAAAACUUGAGUGCAGAAGAGGAAAGUGGAAUUCCAUGUG